RNAcentral lists this long non-coding RNA (1098 nucleotides) under Pan troglodytes (chimpanzee). RNAcentral's name for it is "lincRNA". The record is from RNAcentral. Lineage: Eukaryota; Metazoa; Chordata; Mammalia; Primates; Hominidae.
AGAGUGGAGAAGGCGAACCGUCUGCAGCGAGGCGGGGGUGGGGGGCGCGGGGAGAACGGGGUUCAGGCCAGUGUCGCUCUCAAGGGGCAGCCCUGGUGUCACCCCCACCCCCUCCCACGCUGAAGCCUUCCGGCCGAGCUGUGGCAUCCACGCAAACGGGGCCGCCUCGGCACCUCCAGGCCAGAAUUUAAAUGUUAUUAGCGGCAACUGAUCUGCUCGGGACUGAGGUUUCGGGUCCUCUGCGGAAUUGGGAGGAGCGUGGAUGGUGAAGGAGCUGCUGCACUGUGGCACAGGCUUGGCCGGGGCUGCCUGGCUCUGAGCAGGCUCGUGGGACGGCCCUGUAAGAACCCCACUGCAAGAAGGGCACAGAAGCACCUGAGUUGGCGUCUCAGCGGGGACCCCCCCCAGGAAAUGCCCUUCUACAGCUGGUACUCAAGCUCUUUACACACUUAGCCAUCGCUCUACACAGUCCACGCUUGUGCACCCACACCCACAAGCUUAUGCUCACGUGCACUUUUUUUUUUUUUUUUUGAGACGGAGUUUCGCUCUUGUCGCCCAGGCUGGAGUGCAAUGGCGCCGUCUCAGCUCACUGCAACCUCCGCCUCCUGGGUUCAAGAGAUUCUCCUCCCUCAGCCUCUGGAGUAACUGGGAUUACAGGCGCGCGCCACCACACCUGGCUAAUUUUUGUAUUUUUAGUAGAGAUGGAGGUUUGCCACGUUGGCCAGGCUGGUCUCAAACUCCUGACCUCAAGUGACCCGCCCGCCUUGGCUUCCCAAAGUGCUGGGGUUACAGGCAUGAGCCACCGAGCCCAGCCUCAACAGGCGGAUUCUUGAAUCCGUGUGUAUAAUGCUUCUCUUACAGUCAUCCAGCAAACAUGUACAGACCCUGCUCACGUUUCCACAUAACCAUCCUCGUCUUCCUUUUCUAUCCUUCGGGUCCGCGCAUUUGCCAUCCAUACACGUUACUGGAUAUAGUUAGCUGGAACAUAUGAAAUGCCCUUUCCUAGCACACCCAUAUAAACACACACAAUGGAGCUACGUAUGUACAGGCCUAAAAACAGAAUACACAUCCUACAUGACAUGUACACAUGUGCACACA